UACGUAGGGGGCAAGCGUUGUCCGGAAUCAUUGGGCGUAAAGCGCGUGUAGGCGGCCACGUUAGUCCGCUCUGAAAGCCCGGGGCUCAACCCCGGGAGGCGGGUGGAUACUGCGUGGCUCGAGUCCGGAAGAGGCGAGUGGAAUUCCUGGUGUAGCGGUGAAAUGCGCAGAUAUCAGGAGGAACACCAAUGGCGAAGGCAGCUCGCUGGGACGUGACUGACGCUGAGACGCGAAAGCGUGGGGAG
RNAcentral lists this ribosomal RNA (245 nucleotides) under uncultured Conexibacter sp. Its description in RNAcentral is "partial 16S ribosomal RNA". It matches the Rfam family "Bacterial small subunit ribosomal RNA", at positions 524 to 768 of the family's 1533-position model. The record is from RNAcentral. Lineage: Bacteria; Bacillati; Actinomycetota; Thermoleophilia; Solirubrobacterales; Conexibacteraceae.